This 478-nucleotide ribosomal RNA is filed under the name uncultured bacterium. RNAcentral describes it as "partial 16S ribosomal RNA". It matches the Rfam family "Bacterial small subunit ribosomal RNA", at positions 28 to 507 of the family's 1533-position model. The record is from RNAcentral.
GAUGAACGCUGGCGGCGUGCUUAACACAUGCAAGUCGAACGGGAAUUAUUUUAUUUACACUUCGGUCGAUUUAAUUCAAUUCUAUUGGCGGCCGGGGGAUUAACUCCUUGUUAACCUGCCUUAUACAGGGGGAUAACAGUCAGAAAUGGCUGCUAAUACCGCAUAAGCGCACAGAGCUGCAAGACUCAGUGUGAAAAACUCCGGUUGUAUAAGAUGGACCCCCGUUGGAUACGCUUGUUGGCAGGGUAACCGCCUCCCAAGGCGACGAUCCAUAGCCGGCAUGUGAGGGUGAACGGAGACACUGGGGCUGGGACACGGCCCAGACUCCUCCGCGAGGGAGCAGUGGCGAAUAGUGCACAGUGGGGGAAGCCCUGAUGCAGCGACGACGCGUGAAGGAAGAAGUAUCUGGGUAUGUAAACUUCUAUCAGCAGGGAAGAUAGUGACGGUACCUGACUAAGAAGCCCCGGCUAACUACGUG